This 506-nucleotide ribosomal RNA is filed under the name uncultured bacterium. Its description in RNAcentral is "partial 16S ribosomal RNA". It matches the Rfam family "Bacterial small subunit ribosomal RNA", at positions 29 to 523 of the family's 1533-position model. The record is from RNAcentral.
AUUGAACGCUGGCGGCAGGCCUAACACAUGCAAGUCGGACGGUAGCACAGGGGAGCUUGCUCCUCGGGUGACGAGUGGCGGACGGGUGAGUAAUGUCUGGGGAUCUGCCCGAUAGAGGGGGAUAACCACUGGAAACGGUGGCUAAUACCGCAUAAUGUCGCAAGACCAAAGAGGGGGACCUUCGGGCCUCUCACUAUCGGAUGAACCCAGAUGGGAUUAGCUAGUAGGCGGGGUAACGGCCGACGACGGCGACGAUCCCUAGCUGGUCUGAGAGGAUGACCAGCCACACUGUAACUGAGGAACAGUCCAGACUCCUACGGGAGGCAGCAGUGGAGAAUAUUGCACAAUGGGCGCGAGCCUGAUGCAGCCAUGCCGCGUGUAUGAAGAAGGCCUUCGGGUUGUAAAGUACUUUCAGCGGGGAGGAAGGCGAUGUGGUUAAUAACCGCGUCGAUUGACGUUACCCGCAGAAGAAGCACCGGCUAACUCCGUGCCAGCAGCCGCAGUAA